Molecule: long non-coding RNA, 1275 nt
Organism: Sus scrofa (pig)
Lineage: Eukaryota; Metazoa; Chordata; Mammalia; Artiodactyla; Suidae
Source: RefSeq, a predicted model, not a curated record
UUUUGUAAGAACAAACGGUCAAAUUUUGAUUUUCUCAGGCUGCAGUUUAGAGCUGCCGAUUAAAAAGCCUCCCUUGAAUCUUUUGUUAAUUCAACCCUGAUCCCAGCCUUCCCCCGACUGAGGGUCCCGGUUCUUUGUCCAUUCCUCAAGGGCCCUACUUUCCCUUUAUAUGUAUUCAUCGCCUGGUUUCUGCAAGCUCGCCUCAUCCUUUGCAGCUCUGCUCUGGUGGGAAGCCCCGAGCUGAGGGCGGGUCUCCGACUCGGACCUCUAUUUUGUUCAUCUGUGGGUUCUGGCACAAGGCAGGGAGUGGAAUGCUGAUUUGCUUGAUUCCAGGGGGAAAUGGUUAUCAAUCAGUUAAUGUCGCCCUGGGUUGCAAAAACCAGACGUGGCUGUGCUCAGCCCUGUUUGUCGUUACCCUGUCGGAAGUGACAGCACGGGAAAGGCGGGCAGCUCCUUGGAUCGCUGAAACUAGGCGCUGUGCUUGCAGAUUGGCUCCCAUAAACCGAGUGAAAGUGUUUCUUGCACAGUGCUGAACAAAACCCUUUGCAAAUGUUACAAGUACAAGAAAAGAAAGAAAGAAAGAAAAAAAGAGGCAAGAUACUUUCAUUCCGAUUUCAGGAUCUCAGAGUCCUGGCAGCCGACCUCAAGUCUCUUGGCCACCAUAAAGCAGUCAUUGAGAGGACACAGCUGCAGGAAGUAGAGGCUAAGGACUAAAUAAAUCCACAGGGCUGGAGGCACAAGUCAUGUAUGUGACCCUAACACAAUACCUUGUGGUUGUGAAUGAAUGGAUUAGCAUCUCAGGGUGCUGUGACAGCUUAUGCAAAAUUAAUUGGUGCCUCAGCCAGUGUUGAGUUUCUAAUGGAAAGAUGCCCACUUCAGACAUACACAAAUACACCAAAGAGACCUCCUUAGUUGAUGAAAUUUCUGCUGGUAUUGUAGGAAGACUAAGGACCAAAUGGAAUGGGAACUGAGCUGUUUACUCUCUUGGCUGAACAUGGGUUCUCUUCAGAUCAGAGUGAUGUACAACAUCCACCGGCCAUAUCCCAGGACCUGAUCCAGUUCUUGCCAGGUUCUGGGUUGUAUUUUAGAGUUGAGGUGGGAGUAUACAGGAUUUGUUUUCCUGUGUCUGUCUUAUUUCAUCAGGCAUACUGUUCUUCAGAUGCAUCCAUGUUGUCAUAAAAAGGAGGAUUUCCUUCUCUUUUAUGGCUGAAUAAUAUACCACUAUAUACGAAAUAAAAAAUAUAUACAAUAGAAUAUAUUGUGUAUAAUAUAUAA